Molecule: ribosomal RNA, 258 nt
Filed under: uncultured bacterium
Lineage: Bacteria
Description: partial small subunit ribosomal RNA
Rfam family: Bacterial small subunit ribosomal RNA
Source: RNAcentral
AGGACGAACGCUGGCGGCAUGCCUAAUACAUGCAAGUCGAACGAAAUCCAUUCAGUGGCAACACUGAUGAAGAUUUAGUGGCGAACGGGUGCGUAACACGUGAGCAACCUGCCCCGGAGACCGGGAUAACAGUGGGAAACCGCUGCUAAUACCGGAUGUCCCCACGAUCUCGCAUGGGAUUGUGAGGAAAAGGAUUCCGCUCCGGGAGGGCUCGCGGCCUAUCAGCUUGUUGGGGGGUGACGGCCCACCAAGGCGACG